GGAGGGCGCGCGGGCACCCGGGGGGCCGCCGGUUGCAGGGCGCAGCCGCUGGGUGGAGGUUUGCUCGUGUGCCGCCCUCACCCGGACCUGCAGGUCGGCAGUGUGACCUGGGGGCGGGUCCCUGAGGCCUUGUGCUCGCGGAGGGUCGCACGGGGAGGAAGGCGUUGCCUCUGGCCGGCCUGGCCCUGACCGGCCCCCUGCCCUGCAGGCCAGCGGAGCCUGCACCACCGCGGAGAUGCCCUGGAGACACUGGUCCUUCUGAACCCUUCGGACAAGUCCCUGUGUGACGAGCUCCGGAACCUUCUGCUGGUGCCUGCUCCCCACAAGCUGCUGGUGCUGGCUGGGCCCUGCUUGGAGGAGACUGGGGAGCUGCUGCUGCAGACGGGGGGGUUCUCAUCCCACCACUUCCUGCAGGUGCUGGAGGACAGGGAGAUCCAGGACCUGCUGAGGCGCACUCCGGCCCCGGCUGAGCCGCCCACGCUCACGCUCGGCUGCCCGCCCUUCGGGGACUGGACGCAGCUGGGCGCCACUGAGCCGGACCUGCUCGGGCAUCGGCUGCGGCUCAACCCUGCCGCGCGGCUGCCGGCCUCCGCCGGGCUGCAGGAGCUCCUGGACUACCUGGCCGGGUCCCUGGAGCUCCCGUCCCCCUUCGACCUGUUGGAGCCGCCGUCCUCCGGAGACUUUCUCAAGCUCGACCCGCCGUGCUGCUACAUCUUCCCCGGGGGCCUUGGGGACGCCGCCUUCUUCGCGGUCAGCGACUUCACUGUGCUGGUGAACGGAGGCUCCAACCCCAAGGCCACCUUCUGGAAACUGGUGCGCCACGUGGACCGCGUGGACGCCGUGCUGGUGACGCACGCGGGGGCCGACAGCCUCCCCGGCGUCAACAGCCUGCUGCGGCGCAAGGUGGCUGAGCGCGAGGAGGCGGCGGCCGGG
This 933-nucleotide long non-coding RNA is filed under the name Chinchilla lanigera (long-tailed chinchilla). Its description in RNAcentral is "lncRNA (ENSCLAG00000027741.1)". The record is from RNAcentral. Lineage: Eukaryota; Metazoa; Chordata; Mammalia; Rodentia; Chinchillidae.